AAGACUAUACUUUCAGGGAUCAUUUCUAUAGUUCGCUACUAGAUCUGCUGCUGGCAGUGGUGGGAACUUGUCCCAGACUUGGU
Oryctolagus cuniculus (rabbit) is the source of this 83-nucleotide small nucleolar RNA. Its record names the gene U3. It matches the Rfam family "Small nucleolar RNA U3". Rfam says of the family: Small nucleolar RNAs (snoRNAs) are involved in the processing and modification of rRNA in the nucleolus. There are two main classes of snoRNAs: the box C/D class, and the box H/ACA class. U3 snoRNA is a member of the box C/D class. Lineage: Eukaryota; Metazoa; Chordata; Mammalia; Lagomorpha; Leporidae. The record is from Ensembl.